RNAcentral lists this small RNA (124 nucleotides) under Marmota monax (woodchuck). The record is from RNAcentral. Lineage: Eukaryota; Metazoa; Chordata; Mammalia; Rodentia; Sciuridae.
GCCAGGCAUGGUGGCACAUGCCUGAAAUCCCAGUGGCUCUGAGGCUGAGGCAGGAGGAUCACGAGUUCAAAGCCAGCCUCACCUAAAGACAGGCUCUAAGCAACUCAGUGAGACCCUGUCUCUA